UCUAAACAUCGCAGUACUUGGCUAACAAAAGGAAGAAGAAAAAUCCUUCUUUUUCUGAACCCUAAUGACCAAUUCACCACUCUUCUCAUGAAACCAUCUUCAACUUUACCUACACAUGUAUUAACCCGCCAUGAAUUUGGGUUUUCUCAUCCAAUUCGAUCUGUAAGUUUUCAUUCUUCUUUUUUUAAUAAUUCGAAUUCAUCAUUUAUGCUGGAAUUGAGGUUCCUCUUUGCUUCUCCCUGAGGAAAUGUUAGAUAAAGUUCUCAACUCAAGCCGAAAAAUGAAGCAGAAUUUUUAAUUGAUUCUCUUUUCUCAGCGGCAAACCAAAAAGUUGUACUUCAAUUUGUUCAUGGGCUCUAUUUUUAGGUUAUUCCUUUCCUAUUAGCCUUGGCCUUGUUUUAGGAGAUGCUUAAAAAUGUUAAAUUUCAUGCUUCAGUUAUUGAUUAGGUCAUCAGAACUAUUACUAUUUAGCUCAUUUCUGGUUAGAUUUUAAAUUUAUAUGGUUACAGAACAAGGGGUUUUUUCUAUAAGACAUAAAAAAACCAUUAAAUAUUGCCAAUUUAAACGGAAAGGAAAUGCAUCCUAUGUAAUUCAUUUGUUUUAUUUUGGGGAGUGUCUUUCUCUAUUGUGAUAAACUUAUUUUUUAGUUCUUGACCAGAUAUUGUGAGUGCUGCUUUAAUGAUGUCUAGACCUAUGCUACUCGUCUUUCUAUUACUUGUACUCAUAAUCACCUCGCAGUUUGAGUGGAGACAACAACUUGUAAAUGACAUUGAUUCCACUCCUGUUGUCAACCAGAAGCAGCAACAGAUAUCAAAGAGGGAAGAAGCUGUAAAGGAGAAGAUUAUCUUAUCACAAGAGAAGAAUAUUUUUAGACUCAACGAACUUGUCCGGAGUCUUCGGCAGCAACUACUGCUGUGCAGGUGCAAUAAUGAGACCACAAAUGGCAUCUCUGGCCCUUUUACUGAACAUGUUAUUGAGGUGGAGCGAGAGCAGAUCCUGGAAGACUAGGAUAGGUUCUUAUGAGCUGUUUUUCAGUGUUUUUAGGUAAUGUUGAAACUGUAAAACUUUUGGUUCAUUGAUAACAGUAUAAAGUUUCUUUUGAAACCGAACUGCAUCUUAUCGUUGUCACUACUCACUAUGUCAGAUGUCUGUUACACAGUGUCCAUAGUCAUUGGCAGACGAAUUAUUUCAGAUAGUGAUUCCUCUUUGUUAGCUUUUGUACCAUCCAGUGUGUUGAGGACCAGUUGUGCAACUGGAUAGUGCCUGUCUGAGCCAGAUUGUGAAAUACUGAAACCAUAACCAGAAGCAUCAGGAGAUGGGGGGGUGUUAAGAGCCUAGGAAUAUUUAUCCUUGCUGCAUGGUUUUCUUUGUAAGAGCUAGGGAGGUAAAGACUUGUUGCUCUACACAUAAAGGAAGAUAGAUGUUGAUGAUUAAAUUGCAGUGAAAUUCAAUAUUAAU
Molecule: unclassified non-coding RNA, 1458 nt
Filed under: Hevea brasiliensis (rubber tree)
Lineage: Eukaryota; Viridiplantae; Streptophyta; Magnoliopsida; Malpighiales; Euphorbiaceae
Source: RNAcentral